AGGAUGAACGCUGGCGGCGUGCUUAACACAUGCAAGUCAAGGGGGCCCAGCAAUGGGCAACCGGCGAACGGGUGCGUAACACGUGAGCAACCUACCGAAAUGUGGGGGAUAGCCGGCCUAACGGCCGAGUAAUACCGCAUACGCUCUCGAUGAGGCAUUUCAUUGAGAGGAAACCUACGGGACAUUUCGAGGGGCUCGCGGCCUAUCAGCUAGUUGGAGAGGUAACGGCUCACCAAGGCAACGACGGGUAGC
Molecule: ribosomal RNA, 252 nt
Filed under: uncultured soil bacterium
Lineage: Bacteria
Description: partial 16S ribosomal RNA
Rfam family: Bacterial small subunit ribosomal RNA
Source: RNAcentral